This 239-nucleotide long non-coding RNA is filed under the name Homo sapiens (human). RNAcentral describes it as "non-protein coding CATIP-AS1:10". The record is from RNAcentral. Lineage: Eukaryota; Metazoa; Chordata; Mammalia; Primates; Hominidae.
AUCCGGACAGAAGCCACUGGCCAGCACUGACGUUCCACGAGGAGCCCAGAGGAUGCGACGAUCAUCUGCCCAUUAUUUUUACUCUCGGACCCCCCACCUCCGGAGUCUGGGGGUCCCUCUGUGUCAGUGGGAACCGGGAGGAGCUCGAGCCUGAGUGCUAGCUGCGUUUGCGAGAUUUCAGGGGGUUUGAGCUAAGCCAGAGGUGGUCCACGUCGGCCCUCCUCCCUCCCCAACCCCCC